GACGAACGCUGGCGGCGUGCUUAACACAUGCAAGUCGAACGGAAAGGCCCUGCUUUUGUGGGGUGCUCGAUUGGCGAACGGGUGAGUAACACGUGUGUAACCUUCCCUUGACUUUGGGAUAACUUCAGGAAACUGGGGCUAAUACCGGAUAUGAGCUCCUGCUGCAUGGUGGGGGUUGGAAAGUUUCGGCGGUUGGGGAUGGACUCGCGGCUUAUCAGCUUGUUGGUGGGGUAGUUGCUUACCAAGGCUUUGACGGGUAGCCGGCCUGUGAGGGUGACCGGAAACAUUGGGAGUGAGAUACGGCACAGAAGACAACGGGAGGCAGCAGUGGGGAAUAUUGCAAAAGGGGAGGAAGCCUGAUGCAGAAACGCCGCGGGCGGGAUGAAGGCCUUCGGGUUGUAAAACGAUUUCGCAUGUGACGAAGCGUGAGUGACGGUAAUGGGUAAAGAAGCACCGGCUAACUACGUG
This 468-nucleotide ribosomal RNA is filed under the name uncultured bacterium. Its description in RNAcentral is "partial 16S ribosomal RNA". It matches the Rfam family "Bacterial small subunit ribosomal RNA", at positions 28 to 507 of the family's 1533-position model. The record is from RNAcentral.